GCAAGUCGAACGAUCUCUUCGAAUACAGUGGCAGACGGGUGAGUAACGCGUGGGAACCUACCUUAUUCUACGGAAUAACAGUUAGAAAUGACUGCUAAUACCGUAUACGCCCUUCGGGGGAAAGAUUUAUCGGAGUAGGAUGGGCCCGCGUUGGAUUAGCUAGUUGGUGGGGUAAUGGCCUACCAAGGCGACGAUCUAUAGCUGGUCUGAGAGGAUGAUC
Molecule: ribosomal RNA, 220 nt
Filed under: uncultured bacterium
Lineage: Bacteria
Description: partial 16S ribosomal RNA
Rfam family: Bacterial small subunit ribosomal RNA
Source: RNAcentral